This 252-nucleotide ribosomal RNA is filed under the name uncultured bacterium. Its description in RNAcentral is "partial 16S ribosomal RNA". It matches the Rfam family "Bacterial small subunit ribosomal RNA", at positions 524 to 776 of the family's 1533-position model. The record is from RNAcentral.
UACGAAGGGGGCUAGCGUUGCUCGGAAUCACUGGGCGAAAAGGGUGCGUAGGCGGGUCUUUAAGUCAGGGGUGAAAUCCUGGAGCUCAACUCCAGAACUGCCUUUGAUACUGAAGAUCUUGAGUUCGGAGAGGUGAGUGGAACUGCGAGUGUAGAGGUGAAAUUCGUAGAUAUUCGCAAGAACACCAGUGGCGAAGGCGGCUCACUGGCCCGGUACUGACGCUGAGGUGCGAAAGCGUGGGGAGCAAACAGG